This 513-nucleotide long non-coding RNA is filed under the name Pan troglodytes (chimpanzee). RNAcentral describes it as "long non-coding RNA NONPTRT017206". Lineage: Eukaryota; Metazoa; Chordata; Mammalia; Primates; Hominidae. The record is from RNAcentral.
AAAGGGAAUGUCAAAUUAUAAUCUCACCAGUCAAUUAUGAAGGAGUCACACAGCAUAUUUACCAAUAUUUAGUAUUACCUUAAAUAUAGCUUACUAAUUUGACAGGGAAAACAUAGGUUAGAAUUUCAGAUAAUCACAGUGAAUUAAACUUGAGCAAACUGAUAGAGGAAGAAACCACAGAGAAGCAAGCUCCAAAACAGCCUUCAGAUUCCUCUGGAGUCAUUAGUUGUCUCCUAACUUGUUCACACAUAUGCUCAGUGAGACUAUAAGACACCCAAUGAAAACCAGCAGUCAUGAACAGAAAUAAGAUCCACUAUAUUCAUAUUCAGCAUUUCUUUAUUUAACAUCCUAGCUGAUUCAAGAAAAAGGAGUAGCACAAAAAGUGGAAUAGGUGGUGAUAUGGUUUGUCUGUGUCUGCACCCAAAGCUCAUCUUAAAUUCCCAAAUGUUGCUCAUUAAAACCACAAUUAAAUACCAUCUCAUACUUGUUAGAAUGGCUGUUAUGAAAAAGAUG